GUCUACAGCCAUGCCACCCUGAACAAGCCUGAUCCCGUCUGAUCUCAGAAGCUAAGCAGGGUCGGGCUUGGUUAUUAGUACUUGGAUAGGGGACCACCUAGGAAGACCAGGUGUUGCAGGCA
This 122-nucleotide ribosomal RNA is filed under the name Pteropus alecto (black flying fox). Lineage: Eukaryota; Metazoa; Chordata; Mammalia; Chiroptera; Pteropodidae. The record is from RNAcentral.